UAAUACGUAGGGAGCGAGCGUUGUCCGGAAUGAUUGGGCGUAAAGGGCGUGUAGGCGGCCGUUUAAGUCUGGAGUGAAAUUCCUGUUUUUAAGGUAGGAACUGCUUUGGAAACUGGACGGCUUGAGUGCAGGAGAGGUUAUCGGAAUUCCCGGUGUAGCGGUGAAAUGCGUAGAGAUCGGGAGGAACACCAGUGGCGAAGGCGGGUAACUGGACUGCAACUGACGCUGAGGCGCGAAAGUGUGGGGAGCAAACAGG
Molecule: ribosomal RNA, 256 nt
Filed under: uncultured bacterium
Lineage: Bacteria
Description: partial 16S ribosomal RNA
Rfam family: Bacterial small subunit ribosomal RNA
Source: RNAcentral